RNAcentral lists this ribosomal RNA (484 nucleotides) under uncultured bacterium. RNAcentral describes it as "partial 16S ribosomal RNA". It matches the Rfam family "Bacterial small subunit ribosomal RNA", at positions 30 to 507 of the family's 1533-position model. The record is from RNAcentral.
AUUGAACGCUGGCGGCAGGCCUAACACAUGCAAGUCGAGCGGAUGAAGGGAGCUUGCUCCUGGAUUCAGCGGCGGACGGGUGAGUAAUGCCUAGGAAUCUGCCUGGUAGUGGGGGAUAACGUCCGGAAACGGGCGCUAAUACCGCAUACGUCCUGAGGGAGAAAGUGGGGGAGCUUCGGACAUCACGCUAUCAGAUGAGCCUAGGUCGGUUUAGCUAGUUGGUGGGGUAAAGGCCUACCAAGGCGACGAUCCGUAACUGGUCUGAGAGGAUGAUCAGUCACACUGGAACUGGGCCACGGUCCAGACUCCUACGGGAGGCAGCAGUGGGGAAUAUUGGACAGUGGGCGAAAGCCUGAUCCAGCCAUGCCGCGUGUGUGAAGAAGGUCUUCGGAUUGUAAAGCACUUUAAGUUGGGAGGAAGGGCAGUAAGUUAAUACCUUGCUGUUUUGACGUUACCAACAGAAGAAGCACCGGCUAACUUCGUG